RNAcentral lists this transfer RNA (64 nucleotides) under Caudoviricetes sp. RNAcentral describes it as "tRNA-Arg". Lineage: Duplodnaviria; Heunggongvirae; Uroviricota; Caudoviricetes. The record is from RNAcentral.
GGAAGUAUACAGAUAGCGCAGCAGCCCCCGAAGCUGCCGGGUGCGGGUUCAAGUCCCGUCCCGU